RNAcentral lists this ribosomal RNA (176 nucleotides) under uncultured Gammaproteobacteria bacterium. Its description in RNAcentral is "partial 16S ribosomal RNA". It matches the Rfam family "Bacterial small subunit ribosomal RNA", at positions 335 to 504 of the family's 1533-position model. Lineage: Bacteria; Pseudomonadati; Pseudomonadota; Gammaproteobacteria. The record is from RNAcentral.
ACUCCUACGGGAGGCAGCAGUGGGGAAUAUUGGACAAUGGGCGAAAGCCUGAUCCAGCCAUGCCGCGUGUGUGAAGAAGGUCUUCGGAUUGUAAAGCACUUUAAGUUGGGAGGAAGGGUUUCUGGCUAAUACCCAGGAAUUUUGACGUUACCGACAGANAAGCACCGGCUAACUCC